GUGACCUCAAAUCAGGUAGGACUACCCGCUGAACUUAAGCAUAUCAAUAAGCGGAGGAAAAGAAACUAACAAGGAUUCCCCUAGUAACUGCGAGUGAAGCGGGAAAAGCUCAAAUUUAAAAUCUGGCGGUCUUUUGGCUGUCCGAGUUGUAAUCUAGAGAAGUGUUAUCCGCGCUGGACCGUGUACAAGUCUCCUGGAAUGGAGCAUCAUAGAGGGUGAGAAUCCCGUCUUUGACAUGGACUACCAGGGCUUUGUGAUGCGCUCUCAAAGAGUCGAGUUGUUUGGGAAUGCAGCUCAAAAUGGGUGGGUAAAUUCCAUCUAAAGCUAAAUAUUGGCGAGAGACCGAUAGCGAACMAGUACCGUGAGGGAAAGAUGAAAAGAACUUUGGAAAGAGAGUUAAACAGUACGUGAAAUUGCUGAAGGG
Molecule: ribosomal RNA, 424 nt
Filed under: uncultured fungus
Lineage: Eukaryota; Fungi
Description: eukaryotic LSU rRNA
Rfam family: Eukaryotic large subunit ribosomal RNA
Source: RNAcentral